CUCCCCUUAUACAAAUUACCAUUCUUUACAUCAAAGAACUUUUAGAGCGACCAUGGAUUAUUCUCCUUACAACAUCCAACAAAAACACCCUAAAAGCCUAUCAACAAUCUCACACACACUACUACUUGUGUUGGCUUCAAUAUCUUUUAAUCAAAACCGUAAUCUAAAACCAACCAGCCACGAAUUCAUGUCAAUACUUGAUGUCUCCAGUUAUCAUCAUCAUCAGCCACCGCCGCAACCACUGUUGAAAGUCUCCACUCACACAUGACACUUUAUAAACCUUCAUGUUAAUGAAUUUCUUGUUCUCUAAGUGCCAUACAAUGAUGAUGAGACGGUGAUGAUAGGAACUAUAUUAGUUGGGAAGAUUUGCAAGAUGGUGAGCAAAGGUUGACAUUGGGGUCUCACAAUGAGGGUAGAGUUAUUGUUGUUGUACAGUUGAGGAAGGGACAUAUGCGGAAUAUCAAACAGUCCAAGUAACAAGCUGAUCUCAAGUUUCUUCCUCAACCAAAGGACAAAGUAAAGUUGAAUUGGAGGUUACAAAUAAGUAUAGCUUUUCAUGGCAGCAAAGGAUGAGUGAAGUGUGAUAACGAGUCAGCAAC
RNAcentral lists this long non-coding RNA (599 nucleotides) under Lupinus angustifolius (narrow-leaved blue lupine). RNAcentral's name for it is "long non-coding RNA (LANG_LNC002671)". The record is from RNAcentral. Lineage: Eukaryota; Viridiplantae; Streptophyta; Magnoliopsida; Fabales; Fabaceae.